This 508-nucleotide ribosomal RNA is filed under the name uncultured Sphingobacterium sp. Its description in RNAcentral is "bacterial SSU rRNA". It matches the Rfam family "Bacterial small subunit ribosomal RNA", at positions 9 to 509 of the family's 1533-position model. The record is from RNAcentral. Lineage: Bacteria; Pseudomonadati; Bacteroidota; Sphingobacteriia; Sphingobacteriales; Sphingobacteriaceae.
GAGUUUGAUCAUGGCUCAGGAUGAACGCUAGCGGCAGGCUUAAUACAUGCAAGUCGAGGGGCAGCAUAGUGUAGCAAUACAUGGGUGGCGACCGGCAAACGGGUGCGGAACACGUACAGAACCUUCCUUCGAGCGGGGAAUAGCCCAGAGAAAUUUGGAUUAAUACCCCAUAGGAUAGUGGAGUGGCAUCACUCAGCUAUUAAAGAUUUAUCACUUGAAGAUGGCUGUGCGUCUGAUUAGGUAGUUGGCGGGGUAACGGCCCACCAAGCCAGCGAUCAGUAACUGGUGUGAGAGCACGACCAGUCACACGGGCACUGAGACACGGGCCCGACUCCUACGGGAGGCAGCAGUAAGGAAUAUUGGUCAAUGGACGCAAGUCUGAACCAGCCAUGCCGCGUGGAGGAUGAAGGUCCUCUGGAUUGUAAACUUCUUUUAUCUGGGACGAAAAAAGGCCUUUACUAGGUCGACUGACGGUACCAGAUGAAUAAGCACCGGCUAACUCCGUGCC